RNAcentral lists this signal recognition particle RNA (267 nucleotides) under Sporolactobacillus sp. THM7-7. Its description in RNAcentral is "signal recognition particle sRNA large type". It matches the Rfam family "Bacterial large signal recognition particle RNA". From Rfam's summary of the family: The signal recognition particle (SRP) is a universally conserved ribonucleoprotein involved in the co-translational targeting of proteins to membranes. Archaeal SRP consists of a 7S RNA and homologues of the eukaryotic SRP19 and SRP54 proteins. Lineage: Bacteria; Bacillati; Bacillota; Bacilli; Caryophanales; Sporolactobacillaceae. The record is from RNAcentral.
CCGUGCUAGACGGGGAGGCAGCGGUGCCCUGUAACUCGCAAUCCGCUAUAGCGAGGUUGAAUUCCUUUUGCGAGGUCCCGGCGUUGUAAGGCAGCCUUGGGCACGUGGUGUUGACGUUUGGGUCCUGCGCAACGGAAACUCAUGAACCCUGUCAGGUCCGGAAGGAAGCAGCAGUAAGUGAGACCUUUCGUGUGCCGCGGGGCUGCCUGGAUUGAGCUAACGACUCAAGAAGCGCUUAUGAGGUCUGGAUCGACCAAAGGUGCACGG